This 503-nucleotide ribosomal RNA is filed under the name uncultured bacterium. RNAcentral describes it as "partial 16S ribosomal RNA". It matches the Rfam family "Bacterial small subunit ribosomal RNA", at positions 30 to 523 of the family's 1533-position model. The record is from RNAcentral.
AUUGAACGCUGGCGGCAGGCUUAACACAUGCAAGUCGAGCGGGGUGAUGGUGCUUGCACUAUCACUUAGCGGCGGACGGGUGAGUAAUGCUUAGGAAUCUGCCUAUUAGUGGGGGACAACAUCUCGAAAGGGAUGCUAAUACCGCAUACGUCCUACGGGAGAAAGCAGGGGAUCACUUGUGACCUUGCGCUAAUAGAUGAGCCUAAGUCGGAUUAGCUAGUUGGGGGGGUAAAGGCCUACCAAGGCGACGAUCUGUAGCGGGUCUGAGAGGAUGCUCCGCCACACUGGGACGGAGACACGGCCCAGACUCCUACGGGAGGCAGCAGCGGGGAAUAUUGGGCAAUGGGGGGAACCCGGAUCCAGCCAUGCCGCGUGUGUGAAGAAGGCCUUAUGGUUGUAAAGCACUUUAAGCGAGGAGGAGGCUACUGAGACUAAUACUCUUGGAUAGUGGACGUUACUCGCAGAAUAAGCACCGGCUAACUCUGUGCCAGCCGCCGCCGUAA